Molecule: long non-coding RNA, 1799 nt
Organism: Tympanuchus pallidicinctus (lesser prairie-chicken)
Lineage: Eukaryota; Metazoa; Chordata; Aves; Galliformes; Phasianidae
Exons: 3
Source: RefSeq, a predicted model, not a curated record
GCGCCGUGGAUACUGAGGAGGGCGCGGGGUGGCCGCGAGGAAGGGGUGCGGGCGGCGGGAAGCGGAGUCUGUGGGUGCUGUGAGAGCGAGGUGGAGAUGAAGAUCUGCCUUCAGCCCUCCGGCGUCGUUCGGGGGCAGGCGGGCCGGAACUAUGCGGGGAGCGCAGCGCCUCGUGGCUUGAGAGCCGCGGGCGGCGCUCGGUCCUGUCCGUGUGGGAAGGAGCGGUUACAGCUGAAUAGUCUUCUGCUACGGGGAGCGGCGUUGGAAAAACACAGCUACUAAAGCAGCCGGCUUGCCCCGAGGACUAAAUUCGAUAGCUAAGCGCUUGGGUUCACGUCAGAUUGCGUUUGGCUGCAGGCCACGUGCCUGGCGUCGCCCCAGAGGGGUGAGCGGCAAAAGCUUCAUCCCAAAUCACCACAGGGAAUGAGGGCAGCGGUUGUUUGGGAAAAAAUCACCAAGUGACUAAGCUAAUCGCGUGAUUUUGACAAGGCUGAGUCAUAAGUGAAUGCUGGGUUCCCCCCCAGGCAAGAAUCUGUCAAAAUUUAUCGCUAAUUUACUAACUUUUCUCCUGGAGUCCUGCAGAAGUCCACUGCAGUGUUGGAAAAAGCUUAACGGGGCUGAAAGCUGGAAGAGGUAAAACUUGUGGCUUUGGCUGAGGUUGACCAGAAAUGCAAAGGAAACAUCGCCCCCUCUUUAUUCAAUAAGGACAAAUUUGUCUCUCGUUUUGUGAAGCACAGGAAUGGGAAGGAACCACGCUCAAUGAUUUUCUGCAUCGGUUUCUGUCCUUUUUCUUGACACGCCCUGCUACCACUCCCUGUCUUUUGUUUCUAGCAAGUGUUGCUCUUCUGUCCUAAGGCAGAGAACCAGCAGUGAAAAUGGCUGUUUAAUAUUAAAAGGGAGAAACAAGAAAAGGAGACGAACAUACAAACAUGCACGGUUUUUGCAUGCAGCAUUUCCAACAUCUGUAACCCUCCCAGGAGUCUAAUUUACAAGGAGUGGAGCUGCCAGAAAGGAAACCUUCAGAAAGGAGCUGAAGUUGGUUUAUGCACAAACCUGCACUGCAGAGACAGCAUCAUCACCUGGUCAAGGCCUGUGUCUGCCCUGACUUUGUCUGGAGACAAACCAAAGCUGCAGCAGCUCCCUGACGUGCUGAUGCCGAGAUGCAUGUGUGGUGGAAGUGUAGGAAGAGAGAAACAGAGGGUUUUGGUUGAUGUUCUGUGUCAGGUAAAAUGUGUUUUCAUCAGAAUUUGGCAAUGGGAGCCUUCUUUAAAAUGAGGUAAAGCAGCAAUUUUAUCUCCCAGAGCAGGAAGAAAGCUGUGCUUCCUGACCAGAAACAUUGUACAGAGCUUAUGGAUGAAGGCUGUGGAAUGUUCAGAGCCAGGCUGAUUCUGUAAGAGCAGUAGGAUACUGCCUCUGCUCUGCCCAUCCUACACAUGCACAGAGGGCUGCUUGGACUGUGAGCAUCAAAGCAGACAUUCAUUCAUUCAUCCAUAUUCUCCAUUUCAUUUGUGCAAAAUUGCAGCGCACCGAUUUCACAAAGCAGAUCAGCGCUCAGGACCAGAAGUUACUGUGAAGCAGGAUGUGCUCUUAGUUAACAGGCUCCUACCACUUCCCCAGUGAUGCUGAGCCAAGUCCAGGCACACAGCGUCCACAGCGAAGGGGCACCCUGCCAGGCUCUGCUUUUAGCACUGCAGACUGCCCUGGGUCUGGCAAAUGGUGAUGAAAUUUACAGCAACAACAGGUAGGAUACCCCAGUGACCUCUGGUAGUAUCAGAUACACUCAUUUAUAGCCUUUGUUU